This 450-nucleotide ribosomal RNA is filed under the name uncultured bacterium. Its description in RNAcentral is "bacterial SSU rRNA". It matches the Rfam family "Bacterial small subunit ribosomal RNA", at positions 354 to 796 of the family's 1533-position model. The record is from RNAcentral.
GUGGGGAAUAUUGGACAAUGGGCGCAAGCCUGAUCCAGCAACGCCGCGUGGAGGAUGAAGGUCUUCGGAUUGUAAACUCCUGUUAGGGGGAACGAAAGGCCGCGGGCGAACAGUCCGUGGCUCUGACGGUACUCCCAGAGGAAGCCCCGGCUAACUCUGUGCCAGCAGCCGCGGUAAUACAGAGGGGGCGAGCGUUAUUCGGAAUCAUUGGGCGUAAAGGGCGUGUAGGCGGCUUGACAAGUCGAAGGUGAAAUCCCUCGGCCUAACCGAGGAACUGCCUUCGAAACUGUCUCGCUCGAGGCCGGGAGAGGGUAGUGGAAUUCCCAGUGUAGCGGUGAAAUGCGUAGAUAUUGGGAGGAACACCGGUGGCGAAGGCGGCUACCUGGACCGGUUCUGACGCUAAAGCGCGAAAGCGUGGGGAGCAAACAGGAUUAGAUACCCUUGUAGUCC